RNAcentral lists this transfer RNA (74 nucleotides) under Caudoviricetes sp. RNAcentral describes it as "tRNA-Gly". It matches the Rfam family "tRNA". From Rfam's summary of the family: Transfer RNA (tRNA) molecules are approximately 80 nucleotides in length. The record is from RNAcentral. Lineage: Duplodnaviria; Heunggongvirae; Uroviricota; Caudoviricetes.
GCCGGUAUAGGUUAAUGGCAGACUACCAGCUUCCCAAGCUGGGGGUGCGGGUUCGAUUCCCGUUACCGGCUCCA